Molecule: ribosomal RNA, 253 nt
Filed under: uncultured bacterium
Lineage: Bacteria
Description: partial 16S ribosomal RNA
Rfam family: Bacterial small subunit ribosomal RNA
Source: RNAcentral
UCCGGAAGGGGCUAGCGUUGUUCGGAAUUACUGGGCGUAAAGAGCGCGUAGGCGGCUUACCAAGUUGGGGGUGAAAUCCCGGAGCUCAACUCCGGAACUGCCUUCAAAACUGGUAGACUCGAGUCCGGAAGAGGGGCGUGGAAUUCCCAGUGUAGAGGUGAAAUUCGUAGAUAUUGGGAAGAACACCGGUGGCGAAGGCGGCGCCCUGGUCCGGUACUGACGCUGAGGAGCGUACGCGUGCGCAGCACACAGG